This 450-nucleotide ribosomal RNA is filed under the name uncultured bacterium. Its description in RNAcentral is "partial 16S ribosomal RNA". It matches the Rfam family "Bacterial small subunit ribosomal RNA", at positions 338 to 795 of the family's 1533-position model. The record is from RNAcentral.
CCUACGGGUGGCUGCAGUAGGGAAUAUUGGACAAUGGGCGCAAGCCUGAUCCAGCCAUCCCGCGUGAAGGAUUAAGGCCCUAUGGGUUGUAAACUUCUUUUCUCUGGGAAUAAACAGUGGGAUUCUUCCCGCCUUGAAGGUACCAGCGGAAUAAGCACCGGCUAACUCCGUGCCAGCAGCCGCGGUAAUACGGAGGGUGCCAGCGUUAUCCGGAUUCACUGGUUUUAAGGGGUGCGUAGAUGGCUUUGGAGAAAUGCCGCAGCUCAACUGCGGAACGGCCAUUGAUACUGUUUAGCUUGAAUCACGUCGAGGUGGAUGGAAUAUUACAUGUAGCGGUGAAAUGCUUAGAUAUGUAAUAGAACACCGAUUGCGAAGGCAGUUCACUAGGCGUGCAUUGACACUGAGGCACGAAAGCGUGGGGAUCAAACAGGAUUAGAUACCCCUGUAGUC